GGGUUGUGAGGUUAAGCGACUAAGCGUACACGGUGGAUGCCCUGGCAGUCAGAGGCGAUGAAGGACGUGCUAAUCUGCGAUAAGCGUCGGUGAGGUGAUAUGAACCGUUAUAACCGGCGAUUUCCGAAUGGGGAAACCCAGUGUGUUUCGACACACUAUCAUUAACUGAAUCCAUAGGUUAAUGAGGCGAACCGGGGGAACUGAAACAUCUAAGUACCCCGAGGAAAAGAAAUCAACCGAGAUUCCCCCAGUAGCGGCGAGCGAACGGGGAGGAGCCCAGAGCCUGAAUCAGUGUGUGUGUUAGUGGAAGCGUCUGGAAAGGCGCGCGAUACAGGGUGACAGCCCCGUACACAAAAAUGCACAUGCUGUGAGCUCGAUGAGUAGGGCGGGACACGUGGUAUCCUGUCUGAAUAUGGGGGGACCAUCCUCCAAGGCUAAAUACUCCUGACUGACCGAUAGUGAACCAGUACCGUGAGGGAAAGGCGAAAAGAACCCCGGCGAGGGGAGUGAAAAAGAACCUGAAACCGUGUACGUACAAGCAGUGGGAGCCUCUUAAUGGGGUGACUGCGUACCUUUUGUAUAAUGGGUCAGCGACUUAUAUUCUGUAGCAAGGUUAACCGAAUAGGGGAGCCGAAGGGAAACCGAGUCUUAACUGGGCGUUAAGUUGCAGGGUAUAGACCCGAAACCCGGUGAUCUAGCCAUGGGCAGGUUGAAGGUUGGGUAACACUAACUGGAGGACCGAACCGACUAAUGUUGAAAAAUUAGCGGAUGACUUGUGGCUGGGGGUGAAAGGCCAAUCAAACCGGGAGAUAGCUGGUUCUCCCCGAAAGCUAUUUAGGUAGCGCCUCGUGAAUUCAUCUCCGGGGGUAGAGCACUGUUUCGGCAAGGGGGUCAUCCCGACUUACCAACCCGAUGCAAACUGCGAAUACCGGAGAAUGUUAUCACGGGAGACACACGGCGGGUGCUAACGUCCGUCGUGAAGAGGGAAACAACCCAGACCGCCAGCUAAGGUCCCAAAGUCAUGGUUAAGUGGGAAACGAUGUGGGAAGGCCCAGACAGCCAGGAUGUUGGCUUAGAAGCAGCCAUCAUUUAAAGAAAGCGUAAUAGCUCACUGGUCGAGUCGGCCUGCGCGGAAGAUGUAACGGGGCUAAACCAUGCACCGAAGCUGCGGCAGCGACACUAUGUGUUGUUGGGUAGGGGAGCGUUCUGUAAGCCUGUGAAGGUGGCCUGUGAGGGUUGCUGGAGGUAUCAGAAGUGCGAAUGCUGACAUAAGUAACGAUAAAGCGGGUGAAAAGCCCGCUCGCCGGAAGACCAAGGGUUCCUGUCCAACGUUAAUCGGGGCAGGGUGAGUCGACCCCUAAGGCGAGGCCGAAAGGCGUAGUCGAUGGGAAACAUGUUAAUAUUCCUGUACUUGGUGUUACUGCGAAGGGGGGACGGAGAAGGCUAUGUUGGCCGGGCGACGGUUGUCCCGGUUUAAGCGUGUAGGCUGGUUUUCCAGGCAAAUCCGGAAAACCAAGGCUGAGGCGUGAUGACGAGGCACUACGGUGCUGAAGUGACAAAUGCCCUGCUUCCAGGAAAAGCCUCUAAGCAUCAGGUAACAUCAAAUCGUACCCCAAACCGACACAGGUGGUCAGGUAGAGAAUACCAAGGCGCUUGAGAGAACUCGGGUGAAGGAACUAGGCAAAAUGGUGCCGUAACUUCGGGAGAAGGCACGCUGAUAUGUAGGUGAAGCGACUUGCUCGUGGAGCUGAAAUCAGUCGAAGAUACCAGCUGGCUGCAACUGUUUAUUAAAAACACAGCACUGUGCAAACACGAAAGUGGACGUAUACGGUGUGACGCCUGCCCGGUGCCGGAAGGUUAAUUGAUGGGGUUAGCGGUAACGCGAAGCUCUUGAUCGAAGCCCCGGUAAACGGCGGCCGUAACUAUAACGGUCCUAAGGUAGCGAAAUUCCUUGUCGGGUAAGUUCCGACCUGCACGAAUGGCGUAAUGAUGGCCAGGCUGUCUCCACCCGAGACUCAGUGAAAUUGAACUCGCUGUGAAGAUGCAGUGUACCCGCGGCAAGACGGAAAGACCCCGUGAACCUUUACUAUAGCUUGACACUGAACAUUGAGCCUUGAUGUGUAGGAUAGGUGGGAGGCUUUGAAGUGUGGACGCCAGUCUGCAUGGAGCCGACCUUGAAAUACCACCCUUUAAUGUUUGAUGUUCUAACGUUGGCCCCUAAUCGGGGUUGCGGACAGUGUCUGGUGGGUAGUUUGACUGGGGCGGUCUCCUCCUAAAGAGUAACGGAGGAGCACGAAGGUUGGCUAAUCCUGGUCGGACAUCAGGAGGUUAGUGCAAUGGCAUAAGCCAGCUUGACUGCGAGCGUGACGGCGCGAGCAGGUGCGAAAGCAGGUCAUAGUGAUCCGGUGGUUCUGAAUGGAAGGGCCAUCGCUCAACGGAUAAAAGGUACUCCGGGGAUAACAGGCUGAUACCGCCCAAGAGUUCAUAUCGACGGCGGUGUUUGGCACCUCGAUGUCGGCUCAUCACAUCCUGGGGCUGAAGUAGGUCCCAAGGGUAUGGCUGUUCGCCAUUUAAAGUGGUACGCGAGCUGGGUUUAGAACGUCGUGAGACAGUUCGGUCCCUAUCUGCCGUGGGCGCUGGAGAACUGAGGGGGGCUGCUCCUAGUACGAGAGGACCGGAGUGGACGUAUCACUGGUGUUCGGGUUGUCAUGCCAAUGGCACUGCCCGGUAGCUAAAUGCGGAAGAGAUAAGUGCUGAAAGCAUCUAAGCACGAAACUUGCCCCGAGAUGAGUUCUCCCUGAGACUUAGAGUCUCCUGAAGGAACGUUGAAGACGACGACGUUGAUAGGCCGGGUGUGUAAGCGCAGCGAUGCGUUGAGCUAACCGGUACUAAUGAACCGUGAGGCUUAACCUUACAACGCCGAAG
This 2925-nucleotide ribosomal RNA is filed under the name Escherichia coli. Its description in RNAcentral is "bacterial LSU rRNA". It matches the Rfam family "Bacterial large subunit ribosomal RNA". The record is from RNAcentral. Lineage: Bacteria; Pseudomonadati; Pseudomonadota; Gammaproteobacteria; Enterobacterales; Enterobacteriaceae.